UACGAAGGGGGCUAGCGUUGUUCGGAAUUACUGGGCGUAAAGCGUAUGCAGGCGGGUCGCUAAGUCGGGGGGGAAAUCCUGGAGCUCAACUCCAGAACUGCCUUCGAUACUGACGACCUUGAGUCCGGGAGAGGUGAGUGGAAUUCCGAGUGUAGAGGUGAAAUUCGUAGAUAUUCGGAAGAACACCAGUGGCGAAGGCGGCUCACUGGCCCGGCACUGACGCUGAGAUACGAAAGCGUGGGGAGCAAACAGG
This 253-nucleotide ribosomal RNA is filed under the name uncultured bacterium. RNAcentral's name for it is "partial 16S ribosomal RNA". It matches the Rfam family "Bacterial small subunit ribosomal RNA", at positions 524 to 776 of the family's 1533-position model. The record is from RNAcentral.